UCUUGGUCCAUUUAGAGGAAGUAAAAGUCGUAACAAGGUUUCCGUAGGUGAACCUGCGGAAGGAUCAUUACAGAGUUCAUGCCCUAACGGGUAGACCUCCCACCCUUGUGUAAUUAUACUUUGUUGCUUUGGCGAGCUGCGUGACCCUUUUAGGGUCUCGCCUCAAGUGUUAAAGCUUGAGAGUCGCCCGCCAGAGGAUACCAAAACUCUGAAUAUUAAUGUCGUCUGAGUACUAUAUAAUAGUUAAAACUUUCAACAACGGAUCUCUUGGUUCUGGCAUCGAUGAAGAACGCAGCGAAAUGCGAUAAGUAAUGUGAAUUGCAGAAUUCAGUGAAUCAUCGAAUCUUUGAACGCACAUUGCGCCCCUUGGUAUUCCGGGGGGCAUGCCUGUUCGAGCGUCAUUUCAACCCUCAAGCCUAGCUUGGUAUUGGGCUUCGUCGGUCACACGACGGGCCUUAAAGUGAGUGGCGGCGCCAUUGGGUCCUGAACGUAGUAAUAUAUUUCGUUACAGGUAUCUCAUGUGCUUCUGCCAUUAAAACCCCAAUUUUUUAUGGUUGACCUCGGAUCAGGUAGGGAUACCCGCUGAACUUAAGCAUAUCAAUAAG
This 605-nucleotide ribosomal RNA is filed under the name Lanzia sp. 6 FC-2802. RNAcentral's name for it is "eukaryotic LSU rRNA". The stretch from base 248 to 401 matches the Rfam family "5.8S ribosomal RNA". Lineage: Eukaryota; Fungi; Ascomycota; Leotiomycetes; Helotiales; Rutstroemiaceae. The record is from RNAcentral.